CCGCUCUCCGCCCCCGCUCCAGCCCUGGCCCGAGUGCCCGCCGCCGCAGGAAGCUCCACAGCGGCGCCGGGGCGCUUCCAGCCUCGGCGCCUGCUGUGUUCUCCAGCCGGACGCCCUGGUCAGCCGAUGUAGCCCUUCGAAGGUCCUUUUCCGGAGGUCUCUGUCGGGGGCUGCCCCAACCGCUCACUCCAGUCCGAAGAACACACUUCUACCUCGGUGCUCUUUACCCUCCCAACCCUCAACUUCAAGCCAGGCGCCGGUGGUUCACCCCUGACAUCGUAGCUCCUCCGGAGGCUGCGAUCUGAGGUUCGAAGCCAGCCCAGACAGGAGCAUCCAUGAGAUUCUCAGCCAAAAGCAGAGCUGCGGCUCAAGUGGUUAGAAUCUUGAUCCAGAGAGCUAAGAGACUGCAUACAGGCCCCUGAGUUCAAGUCCCAGUACUGGCACAAACAAAACUUCCAACUCCAGUUAUUUUCCACCCGAAGUAGAAAAGUUACUCCGGCAAAGCCACUGUCGGCAUCUAGUUGUCAGAAGGCGGCCCCGGCCCAGUUGCGGGGCCAGUGGCUCUGUGGGUAUGUAGGCUGGAAUGUAGGCUGGGGGGCAGACUAGGAGGGGCUAUCAGGAAGCCCAAAAGGCAUUAAUUUAAAUAAUACAGGAGGGAGGAGGUAGUGACAGAUGUGAUCUCUGCGCAAUUAGAAAGUGCCCUUCUGGGCCAAAGUUUAUUUCUGUACACCUGACCUUUUGUACGUCUAAUUGAUACUUAGUGUAUAACUUGCUUGUUUAAACCCAAGAAUUCCCCUGUUGAGGAUCCGAACUUCUUUCUGGCCCUGGCCUGGUUCAGGUCACCAGCAAUAAAACUUCCUUUAUCCUCUCCAAAAAGUAGUUGUGUUGUCUGCUAAUCUGUGCUAGCUAGUACUUUCAGUAACUUAGUCAUUGUCAUUUCCCAGAAAUGUGCCUGACUUAAAAUAGUGCUCAAUACACUGCCCAAAAUGUGUAAAAGAGCUCAGCAUAAAUAAAGCCCUGAGUCAAUUCCCAACAUUACCCACAUUCCACUUCCCUCCAGAACACCUCACCUAUCAGUUGUGAGAGACCAGGAAAGUAAACCCCAGCAUUUCUUAGUGAAGAUAAGCAUUUCCCUUGGGUUGAUAGUACCAAAGAUAAGCUGUGGAAAAGGUGACCUAAAUCUCUUCCCCUGUCUAUAAUUUACAUUGUGUCCCCAAAAUAGCAAAUCGUGAAAAAGUCAUUAACUUGAGACACUGCCACCGUUAUCAAGUACAUCAUUGCUUUUGUUUUCCUUAUCUCUGGAGCAUUACUUUUUUUUUUCAGUCCAGUGGCUAACUAUGAGGCUUUAUUUUCUGUUGUUAGUAAAAGCUAUUAAAUGAUUUAAUUGGUUA
Long non-coding RNA from Dipodomys spectabilis (banner-tailed kangaroo rat), 1391 nucleotides. RefSeq lists it as uncharacterized. The transcript is spliced from 2 exons. The record is from RefSeq and is a predicted model, not a curated record. NCBI's taxonomy places the organism in Eukaryota, Metazoa, Chordata, Mammalia, Rodentia, Heteromyidae.